This 446-nucleotide ribosomal RNA is filed under the name uncultured bacterium. RNAcentral describes it as "partial 16S ribosomal RNA". It matches the Rfam family "Bacterial small subunit ribosomal RNA", at positions 338 to 795 of the family's 1533-position model. The record is from RNAcentral.
CCUACGGGGUGCAGCAGUAGGGAAUUUUCGGCAAUGGGGGGAACCCUGACCGAGCAACGCCGCGUGAACGAAGAAGUUAUUCGUAAUGUAAAGUUCUUUUAACAGGGAAGAAAGAGAAAUUUGACGGUACCUGAAGAAUAAGCUCCGGCAAACUACGUGCCAGCAGACGCGGUAAUACGUAGGGAGCGAGCGUUAUCCGGAAUUAUUGGGCGUAAAGGGUGCGUAGAUGGCAUAGUAAGUCUUUGGUAAAAAUGCUGGGCUCAACCCAGUAGGGCAAAAGAUACUGGAAAGCUAGAGUAUGACAGAGGCAAGUGGAACUACGUGUGUAGCGGUGAAAUGCGUAGAUAUAUGUAAGAACACCAGUGGCGAAGGCGGCUUGCUGGGUCGAUACUGACAUUGAGGCACGAAAGCGUGGGGAGCAAACAGGAUUAGAUACCCUAGUAGUC